AGUGAACGCUGGCGGUAGGCCUAACACAUGCAAGUCGAACGGCAGCACAGUAAGAGCUUGCUCUUACGGGUGGCGAGUGGCGGACGGGUGAGGAAUACAUCGGAAUCUACUUUUUCGUGGGGGAUAUCGUAGGGAAACUUACGCUAAUACCCCAUACGACCUACGGGUUAAAGCAGGUGAUCUUCGUACCUGUCGCGAUUGAAUGAGCCGAUGUCGGAUUAGCUAGUUGGCGGGUUAAAGGCCCACCAAGGCGACGAUCCGUAGCUGGUCUGAGAGGAUGAUCAGCGACACUGGAACUGAGACACGGUCCAGACUCCUACGGGAGGGAGCAGUGGGGAAUAUUGGACAAUGGGCGCAAGCCUGAUCCAGCCAUACCGCGUGGGUGAAGAAGGCCUUCGGGUUGUAAAGACCUUUUGUUGGGAAAAAAACGCAGCAGGUUAAGAACCAGCUGUUCUGACGGUACCCAAAGAAUAAGCACCGGCUAACUACGUG
RNAcentral lists this ribosomal RNA (492 nucleotides) under uncultured bacterium. RNAcentral's name for it is "partial 16S ribosomal RNA". It matches the Rfam family "Bacterial small subunit ribosomal RNA", at positions 29 to 507 of the family's 1533-position model. The record is from RNAcentral.